Molecule: long non-coding RNA, 12847 nt
Filed under: Marmota monax (woodchuck)
Lineage: Eukaryota; Metazoa; Chordata; Mammalia; Rodentia; Sciuridae
Source: RNAcentral
UAUUACAUAUAUAGAGCAUAAUUUUUCAUAUCUAUGGUUGUAUACAUAGCAUAUUCAUACCAAUUUAUGUCUUCAUACAUGUAAUUUGGAUAAUAAUGAUCAUCACAUUCCACCAUCAUUAAUUACCCCAUGCCCCCUCCCUUCCCCUCCAAUCCCUCUGCCCUAUCUAGAGUUCGUCUAUUCCUCCCAUGUUCCCGCUCCCUAUCCCACUAUGAAUUAGCUUUCUUAUAUCAAAGAAAACAUUCAGCAUUUGGUUUUUUGGGAUUGGCUAACUUCACUUAGCAUUAUCUUCUUUAACUCCAACCAUUUACCUGCAAAUGCCAUGAUUUUAUUCUCUUUUAUUGCUGAGUAAUAUUCCAUUAUGUAUAUAUGCCACAUUUUUUUUAUCCAUUCAUCUAUUGAAGGGCAUCUAGGUUGGUUCCACAGCUAUUGUGAAUUGUGCUGCUAUAAACAUUGAUGUGGUUGUGUCUCUGUAGUAUGCUGUUUUUAAAUCCUUUGGGUAUAGACCGAGGAGAGGGACAGCUGGGUCAAAUGGUGGUUCCAUUCCUAAUUUUCCAAGAAAUCUCCAUACUUAUUUUCAUAUUGACUGCACCAAUUUGCAGUCCCACCAGCAAUGUAUGAGUGUACCCUUUUCGCCACAUCCUCACCAACACUUAUUGUUGUUUGAUGCAUAAUAGCUGCCAUUCUGACUGGAGUGAGAGGAAAUCUUAGAGUGAUUUUAAUUUGCUUUCUCUAAUUGCUAGCAAUGAUGAACAUUUUUUCAUGUAUUUGUUAAUUGAUUGUACAUCAUCCUCUGAGAAGUGUCUGUUCAGGUCCUUGGCCCAUUUAUCGAUUGGGUUAUUUGUUUUUUUGGUGUUUAGCUUUUUGAGUUCUUUAUAUACCCUAGUGAUUAGUGCUCUAUCUGAUGCGUGAGACAUAAAGGAUUGCUCCCAAGAUAUAGGCUCUUUAUUCAUCUCACAGAUUGUUUCUUUUGUUGAGAAGAAGCUUUUUAGUUUGAUUCCAUCCCAUUUAUUAAUUCUUGAUUUUAAUUCUUGUGCCACAGAAGUCUUGUUAAGGAAAUUGGGGCCUAAUCCCACAUGAUGGAGAUUAUGGCCUACUUUUUCUUCUCUUAGACGCAGGGUCUCUGGUUGAUUCCUAAGUCCUUGAUCCAUUUUGAGUUUUGUGCAUGGUGAGAGAUAGGGGUUUAAUUUCAUUUUGUUGCAUAUGGAUUUCCAGUUUUCCCAGCACCAUUUUGUUGAAGAGGCUAUCUUUUCUCCAAUGCAUGUUCUUGGCACCUUUGUCUAAUAUAAGAUAAUUGUAUUUUUUGUGGGUUAUUCUCUGUGUCCUAUAUUAUGUACCAUUGGUUUAUCAAGUCUGUUUUGGUGCCAAUACCAUGCUGUUUUUGUUACUAUUCCUCUGUAGUAUAGUUUAAAGUCUGGUAUAGUGAUGCCACCUGAUUCACUCUUCCUGCUAAGGAUUGCUUUAGCUAUUCUGAGUCUCUUAUUUUUUCCAGAUGAAUUUCAUGAUUGCUUUUCUUAUUUAUAUGAGGAAUGCCAUUGGGAUUUUGAUAGGAAUUGCAUUAAAUCUGUAUAGUGCUUUUGGAAGUAUGGUCAUUUUGAUAAUAUUAAUUUGUCCUAUAAAAGAGCAAGGUAAAUCUUUCCAUCUUCUAAGGUCUUCUUUGAUUUCUUUAGGGUUCUGUAAUUUUCUUUAUAUAGAUCUUUUACCUCUUUCAUUAAGUUGAUACCCAAGUAUUUUAAUUUUUUUGAGGCUAUUGAGAAUGGGGUAGUUUUCCUCAUUUCCCUUUCUGAGGAUUUGUCACUGGUAUACAGAAAUGCCUUUGAUUUAUGGGUGUUGAUUUAUAUAUCUUGCUACUUUGCUGAAUUCAUUUACUAGUUCUAGGAGUUUUCUGAUGGAACUUUUAGGGUCUUCCAAGUAUAGAAUCAUAGCUGAUGGGUGAAAUAUUCUAUAUAUGUCUGUUAGAACAGACACUUCACAGAAGAAGAAAUACAAUUGAUCAACAAAUAUAUGAAAAAGUGUUCAACAUCUCUAGUAAUUAGAGAGAUGCAAAUCAAAUCUACUCUAAGAUUUCAUCUCAUUCCAGUCAGAAUGGCAAUCAUCAAGAAUACAGGCAACAAUAAAUGUUGGCAAGGAUGUGGGGGAAAAGGUACACUCAUACAUUGCUGAUGGGAAUGCAAAUUGGUGCAACUGCUAUGGAAAGUAGUAUGGAGAUUCCUCAGAAAACUUGGAGUGGAACCACCAUUUGACCCAGCUGUCCCACUCCUUGAUAUAUACCCAGAAGACUUAAAGUCAGCAUACUAUAGUGAUGCGGCCACAUCAAUGUUUACAGCAGCUCAAUUCACAAUAGCUAAGCUAUGGAACCAACCUAGGUUUCCCUCAAUAGAUGAAUGGUAUGUACGUAUAGGUACACAAUAACAAGAAAAAAAAAUGACAUCCCAAUAGAACUAAAUACAACAACAAGCAGUUCAUGGAAAGAAAAAAAAGGAAUUGAUUUAUAAUCACACAAAUAUGAUUGCUCUCAAAGCAAAAACUGCAAUAGGCUAUCAUUUUUGGAUGAAAAAGUGUGAUAAGAUCACUGCCCAUGGGACUCAGGGAAAUUGAUGUUCUUAUUACUAAAUUCGUGUACUCUUUGGGGGAAUAUUUGGUAAUGUCUUUCAAAAUUCAUGCUACCAUCUGAUAUAGCAAUUAAGCUCUUAGAAAUUUAUCCUACAGAUAUACUUACUUCUGGCACAUACGAAUAGUCUUUGCAGUAUUGUUCAUAAUGUCAAAGGACCAAAAAUAACAGUAAUGUCCACUAAUAGCAGACUAGCUAAAUUGAUAAGGGCAAGUUACUCAUACAAGCAACCCUAAAAGGAUGAUGUAAAUAUUUAUGGGUUGAUUUGAAAUCAGCAAGGCAUGCUAUAUAGUGGGAAAAAUGAGACAUUGAGAAGCAUUCCCUACUUAUAAAAAAAAAGUAGGGAGGGAGGUAACAUAUAUUUGUAAUAAAGUUUAUAUUUCUAGAAAUAUAUGUAAGCAACUGCUAUAAUAGUUUCUUCUUGGAAAAGACAUUAGAGUGAGAGAAUCUUAAAAUUCAUAGGAUACUGCCUUAUAACAUUUGAUAAAGUGAUUUAUUUGUUUUAAUUUUAAAUAAGUGAUUUAAUGCACAAGAGUAAUCUUACCGUAUAAAUAAAAUUUCCAAGAAAUAAAUAGUCUGUGGUGUAACCAUGUCGCAAAAUCAUAUCUGAAAAGUGAAAAAAAUCAUGUUUUAAUCUUUAUAGAGUCUGUAAUAUAGAUUUUGAAUUUAUUUUUACCAAAGAAACCCAUAGUGGACCCCCCAAAAUAUUCAUUGAUUAUUGGUCAUAUUUCUAAAUUGCUUUAAAUGACAAAAAUUUUGCAUCUAUUAUCUGUGAUAAUUGUGACUUUUUCUUACUUUUUAGUCUCUCCAAGGAUAUAUCAAGCAACAGAUGGAAAAACAAAGCAUAAGGAGUAUGUGACUGUUGUUGUAAACCUAGCUUUAUUUGCAUUAAACCAUCUGACAGAACCCAUAAAUUAAAAGUAAAAAUAUCCCAUAAAUGAUGCUAGGUUAUGAGAAAUUGUAAUAAUUUUGUCAUCAUAUUUUUAAUACUAUUUCCUUUUCUAAGGUUACUAAAAUAACAAACAAUAGACAAUUUGAAAUAAUGAUAGAAUUUCCCAAUUCUUUACAAUUAUUGCUAUAUCUGCUCUAAAACUUUAUGAAAGCCCCAGACUAUCUCAAGAUUAGGAUACUCUCUUCAGAUCUUCUUGACAUGUUUUAAAAUUCUCUAAUACAUAUUUGUGGUCUUUGGUUCAUUACAUUUGAUAUGUAAAUUUUCAAGUGCCAACUCCUGACCUUUACACCAAUUCAGAUAGUAUACUUAUGUACUUAGGCUCAUUUAUUGUUGUUGUUUUAUGUUUGUUUGUUUGUUUCUGAGUUAUAAUCCACUAAAAUUUUCAAGGCUUAUUCUUUUCCCUAAAACUACAGGCAAUGAAACAUUUAGGGAAUCCAAAUGAAGAAAAGUGGAUAAGUAUGUGGACCAAAUUACAACCACCAGGAGAAUGACAAUCAUGAUUCUAGAAUGUGCACUGACCUACACUUUGUGAGCUGGAGUGGGAUGAUAGUAGAGAUGAGAACAAUAUAACUGAAUAGAAAAGAGAAGAUAGCUACUUCACAGGAACAUAAUAUUGGAUUAUAUUGUUUAGAUAUGCACUCAUAAAGGGAAUAGAAAAAUUAGAAGCUACAUUGGGAGGAAGAAAAACUUCCAGUAUUCCAACAUUCUGGUGUGAAGCAGAAAUUACUUUCCUUCUGAAUAUUACACAAAAUUAAUAAUGAAAACUGCCACAAAGUCAAUGUCAGGGAAACAAGGAGACAAAAAAAAUCCGUAGACUCAGAAAACUAACAAAGGCUUCCAAGGAACUGAGGCCAGCACAGAAGCUGAGCUUGCUACAUGUAGUAAGAACUCUCUGAUGUGAAUACCAACUCGGUCUAGAGCAUCAGAUCUCAAAAAACAUCUGCAAAAAUACACUUUUCUUCUCUCUGGGACAGAAACUUUAAUCCCAUGAAGAAUUAAAAAAAAAAAAAGAAACAGACACAGUACCCAUAAAAUGACUAUUUUAUGAGUUUUGGUCAUUCUUUAUUAUGCUAUAUAUUUGUCCCUGAUUAUGAAAUAUGUUUUUAAAUGAAUUGAAUCAAAUGAGUGGAAAAGGACAGCAAAAUUUAUCACAGAUGAAGAAUGUUCACUAGGGAUUUUUACAUAAGACCCAGUUUACCCAGCCAAAAACCUAAUGAAUAAUCAGAACAAAAAGACUUGUGUGCAUUUGAAAGAUUUAAUAUAUCAAAAUAUAUUUAUAUACAUCUAAUACGUUGAAGAAAUAAGACUAUAAAAGCAAAAACAAAUGUGGUGUUAAAAUGAUUAGCUGUAAUUAUCACAUGCCCAUAUGAUAAGGAAAUGAUACCUGAAUACAUGAAGGUACUGGUGAAAUAAAUGGAAAACAUCAAGUUUGCAGAUGGUCUCAUCAAGUCAACAAAAGACAUUCAAAGCAAACAGAAAGUAUUUAACUGGAAGCAUACUUAAGAGCAUGAAGGUAUGUCAUAUGCAAGAUAAUGGGGUGCUGGAGGAACAGAAAGAGAGAAGGAAGAAAAAAUGCAAUAAUUUUAUCAUUAUUCAUAGGAGGAAAUGAUUUCUCUAAAGAAAUAGUCAAUAAAAAAUUGACUAUAAGAACAAAAAUUCAAACCUUUCUCAGUAUCAGAAAUCUAUACAAAUAAGCAAGGAAACCCAAAGAAAUGAUUAAAGAUUAGAAAAAUAAAUUUAGGAAGGAAAUGCAAAAUCAUAAGAACAUCUCAGAAAAAUCUAUUUUUUAAAAAAUGAAUUUCAGAUUGAAUCUCAAAUUAGAUUUUAUGCUGCAAGAACUACACCUUAAAACAAGCAACUCAUAUAGUUGAAAAAUGAAGGAUGAUCAAGGAUGAGACAUAAUAGUAACUGUAACCUAGAAGAAAUUGACACUAAAAAGACUUACACAAGACAAGGAAGGGUACCUUGUAAAGCCAAACAUAAAAAUUUCAAUGAAUAUGAAAUAGACUAUUGGCAUGACAAAUAAUAUUUUAAAACAUAAAUUGAGAGCAAAAAGGAGAAACAAAUAUGAUAGUAGUAGAUUUUCACUCACCUUUCUCAGUUCAUAAUAGAUAAAGUGACAACAAAUAAAUGAAUAGGCAAAAUAUUUCUGGCUAUAAUCUAUUAGAAAAUUGGAUUAAAUAUAAAAUGACUACCUUCAGACAUUAGGUAAGAGACCAAACAGAAAACUUUAAUUCCUGAAGAAAGGGUAAAACAUUAGAUGAGCCUUGUCCCUACUCACACCUCGAGGCAGUUUCUAAACUACUGUGCAGGGAAAGAGAUUCAACAUUGUUUGCUGAAUUAAUGAGACACUGACAGGACGAAGUUGUUCAAAUUUGCAGAAUGGAACAUGGGAAUUAUGGAAAGAAUUAUCUUAAGAAAUUCCUAUGGGGUCCUCAUAAGCCCUUGAUUGAAUGCUAAUCUGCAAUGUGUGCCAAGAAGUCCCACAAGGCAGUAAAGAACAACUUCCAUGGAAAAACAAAUUACUACAUAAGGGCAAGUUUUAAAAAAUUCCAGAUUUAAUAUAGGAAUUGCUCAAAUUCCUAUAGGCUAAAGUGAAAAGAACUUUUUUGAUAAGCAUUCAGCAGAGACCCCAGAGGGAGUAUAUAACUUUAGUAGAGAAAUUAAAUUCAUUUUAAAGGAUUAUUUGACUGAACUUCAAAAAUAUGAAAAUAAGUAUCAAAAGAGUAAAAUUGAAUCACAAUAACUAAGUUAUUGUGCUAAAACAAAGUCCAAGUAUUUAAAAAUAAAAAUGAACUAUUCAGCAACAUAUCAUUUAUAAUGUUCAACAUCCAUUAUAAAAUUACAAUGUGAAUAAAUGGGGGAAAAUGAUGAAUAACCAGAAGAAAAUUGGUACUAGAAACAAUUCAGAAAUAACAGAGAUAUUGGAAAUAGCAGAGAAGUCUGUAGCUAUUAUAAAUAUUUUAAAUAUGCUCAAGGAUUUGUAGGAAAAUAUGAACAUGAUAAGGAAAGAAAUUAAAGACACGAACAAAAUAAAAUUUCUAGAGAUGAAAAUAUUAACACUGAUAAAUCAGUAACACACAACUAAAUAAAAUAUUAGUACACUUAAAAGCAUAGAAAAACAAACUAAAAAUGAACUUAAAAGAGAGAACAAAAAUAUUAUAAAUGGACACAGAUGGGGAAAACAUUAAGGGUCUGACAUAUGUGUAGUUAGAGUCAUGGAAGAAGAAGAAACAGAGACAAAAGAAAUGGUAAGGAAAAUUUUUACACUUUGUUGAACACUAUAAAACAAUAGAUGCAAAAACUUUGAGCAGGAAAAUAGAUAAACAUAACUUAAACUUUAUCAUGUCAUAUCAAAACCAAUUGCUGUGAAUCAGUGAUAAAGAAAAUAAGUCUUAGGAUCACAAAGACAACACACUACAUAAAGAAGAAUUAUCAUAGGCUUUUCAACAAAAUAAUGCAAACCACAAGUCAAUGGUCUUUAAAGAAGUUGAAGAAAAGGAACUAUCAACAUAAAAUUGCUUUUUCAAAAGGAAAAUAAAAUAGAGACUUUUUGGAUAAAUAAAAUCUUAAAGAACAUUCAUUUGUUUUAAAUUUCAAAAGAAUAAAUUUGCUUUAAAGCAAAGUUAUUGUGCUAAAACUUUCUAGAAGAAAGCUAGAAAAUGAAAUAUUUAAUUUUCCAACUUUAAAAACUAAUUUUUUCAGAAGCAAAGAAGUAGAUAUUUCCCAACUUAAGAAACAAGUAUUAUGCUAAUUUGAAAUCCAGAUAAAUUUUGAGUUUCUUUAUAUAUUCCAGAGAUUAAUGUUCUAUGUGAGGUGCUGGUGGCAAAGCUUUUCUCCCAUUAUGUAGGAUCUCUCUUCACAUUCCUGAUUGUUUCCUUUGCUAUGAAGAAGCUUUUUAGUUUGAUACCAUCCUAUUUAUUGAUUGUUGAUUUUACUUCUUGUGCUUUAGGAGACUUGUUGAGACUACCAGGCUAAGUGAAAUGAGCCAAUUCCAAAAAACCAAAAGCUGAAUGUUCUUUUUGAUAUGCAGAUGCCAAUACAUAAUGCAGGGAGGGAAUAGAAGUUCUGUAGAUUAGACAAAGAGGAAUGAAGGGAAGGGAGGGGAAUGGGAAUAGAAAGGACAGUAGAAUGAACUGGACAUAAUUUUCCUAUGUUCACAUAUGAAUACAUGACCAAUGUAACUCCACAUCAUGUACAACGAUGAGAACAGGAUCCUACUAGAAUAAGUUAUACUUCAUGUAUCUACAGUAUGUCAAAAAAACACUCUACUGUCAUGUAUGUCUAAAAAGAACAAAUUUUAAAAAUGUAAAAAACAAACAAAAAUACAGAUAAAGAAUAUUAUAAGAAAGACCAAUCAAUACCCAUCAUGAACAUAGAGGCAAAAAUCCUUAGCAAAUCAAAUUUAGCAUAUAUAAAAAAGAUAAUACAUGAUAAACAAGGGAUUAUUCAAGGAUAUGAUGCUAGUUUAUAUUUUAAAAUUAAUGAAUCCAAUUCAUCAUAGUAGCAGAACAAAAAAGAAAAAUGUUAUCACCUUAAUAGAUGGAUAAGAAAAAACAUAAACCAAAUCCAAUUUAUGGCUCAGUAGUAAAGCACUUGCCUGGCACGUGUAAGGCACUGGGUUCAAUACUCAGCACCACAUAAAAAUAAAAAAUAAAAUAAAGAUAUUGUGUCCAUCUACAAAUAUAAACAAACAAAUAAAUAAAUAUCUUCAACCAACUAGAACUGAAGAGAACUUUCUUAUUGUAAUAAUGGGCAUCUAUGAAAAAAAUCUAAUAUCUUAAAUAAUAGUAGAAAGAUGCAUUCUUUCCUCAUAAGAUUAGGAAGAAUGUGAACAUGUCCAAAUUUACUGCUUCUGUUUAACAUUGUCCUGGAGAUCCCAGCCUGUGCCUUAAUGAAAGAGAAAUAAAUAAAAGGCAUAUGUAAUGAAAAGGGAAGAAUUUGUCAUAGAUAAAUUUACACCUGGUCCCUGAGAUUAUGUAUGACACAUUCAGGCAAAAUGGAUGAAGAAGGGACAUGGAAACCUUGGUUGUCACUUCAUAUAGCUGCACAAUGAUGAGUGAUAUUUUGUACUUAUGUAGUUUGCUUGUCCAAUAUGUAAAAAAUACUUUAAACUAAAUUUAAACAUGUAUGAAAUCUUUCAGUGCCUAAACAUUGUACCAGAUAAUUUGGGCAGCUACAUAAUUCAUUCUCAUAAAUAUCAAAGCAAAUUUGCACACAGUUAAUUUCAGUUGGUACCCACCUCAUACACACCACCCAGUAAGCACAAAUAACAUUAUUUAUUCUUUAUAGAGAAUCUGAGGAUGUUGUCUAUGUGUGCAUAUGUGUUGUGGGAUAUUUUAAAUGUUAGAAGACUAAAAAUUUUAAUGAAUCUUAGGAGGAAAAACCAAAAAUGAAUAUUCUAAGAAUUAGUUUAUCAUAUGCAUUACAUUUAACAACAUAAAUUCUGUAAACUACUGCAUUGAUAAAAUCAUGGUAUUUAUAAUUCCAGAUUUGGGUUUAUUAUUACACUACAAUUCUUAUAUUUGAAGAUAACCUAUGAUUUUUUAAUAGAUUCUAUCUAUGUUUUUAACAACUAUACUGAACCUUCUUUUCUAGAUAUAUUACAAAGGUGAGACAGCAUUAUUUUUUGCUCUUACUGCUUCUACUUUUGGAUUCAUAAAAAAAAAAAGAAAGAAAGAAAAAGGAAAAAGUCACCCCCCAAGAUGAAUGCCAGGAAAUUUUUCCAUUUUCCCUUGUUUUCUUUUAGUAGCUUCACAGUUUGGGGGUCUUAUAUGUAAGUCUUUGAUACAUUUUGAGUUAAUUUUGUAAAUGAAUGUGUAGAUUUGAAUUUUCACCUGGGUUUACUUGUUUAAAAUUCCUUCAGUAUUUCUUGAAAAGUAAACAUUUUAGAAACAAAGGAUAUCAUGUUUUGUUAAUCUUGGAAUUUUUUAUUUCAACUUCACUUUUGAAAGAUUGUUUUACUGGGCUUAAGAUUCUUCAUUAAUAGUUUUUGUUUUCUUUCUCAGCACUUUAGUUUUUCACUACCUUCUGGCUUCCAUUUUUCUGGUAAGAACUUUGCUAUUGAUCUUCCUGACUCAAAUAUUUACUAGAAAUUAACAAUAAAUGGUCUUUCAUGUCAUCAUCUUUUUUUUUUCAAAAUUGUAUCAUUGUGUUUGGCUCUCAACAUUUUUACUACAAUGUGUGUAUGUGAAUGUUUUUACAUAUAAUUGCAGUUCAUUGAUUUUCUGAUGUCUAGUUAAUGUUUUCAACUAAUUUGGUGACUUUUCAGCUAUAAUUUUCUUGAAGAUUUAUUUUGCUCCAUUAUUUUUCUCCUCUUGUUCUGGUCCUCCUAUUAUAUACAUUUUUUUAAGAUUUACCACAUUUUUUUGAGCCUCUGUGCAACUUUUUUUAUUCUAUUUUUUUCUCUGUUCUUCAGAGUACAUAUUCUAUAUUUAUAUAACCUCAAGUUCACUAAUUCUUUUUCCAGCUCAAAUAUACUAUUGAGUUCUGCUAAAAAAAGGGGGGGGGGCUCCAUUUUGGUAUUGUACUUUUCCUUUAGUUCUUUAUUAUAAUUUUGAUUUUCGUUCCAAUAAUCUCUAUUUAAUGAGCCAUUGUCUUCAUAUCUUUCAUCAUGGUUUCUUAAACAUAUUUAUAACGAUUGCUUUGAACUCUUUGUUUAAUCUGAAAUCUGGGUCUUCUUAUAGAGUAGCCUCUCUUUCUUACCUGUUUUCCUGUAUAUGAGUCACAUUUUCCUCAUUAUUUGAAUGUUGUUGUUGAAAUGGGAUGUUUUAUAUAACAUAUUACAGCAAAGUUGGAUACUGAUUCCCUUCCUUCCUUUUUUGGGGGGAGUGGGGGUGGGACAAGGGAUUGAUCCCAGGGGUGCUUGACCACUGAUCCUCUUCCCCAGCCCUUUUUAUUUUUUAAGACAGGGUCUCACUGAGUUACUUAGGGCCUAAUUUGCUGAGGCUGGCUUUGAACUUGUGAUCCUCCUACCUCAGUCUUGUGAGCCGCUAGGAAUACAGGCAUUCGACACCUCGCCCGGCCCUUCUCUCCUUUUUAAGGUUUGUGCUUGUUGUUGAUGCUUAUUUCUUGUGAGACUUGGCUAGGCCACUUUAGUGAAGUUUAUUUCUCCCCACAGUGUAAAACCUUGGUGUUCUCCUCAGAAGGCACAGCCUUGGGUAAAAUUACAGACACUUAGGAUAGCAGUGGUUUAAGCUUGAGCUUUCCUUGAGUUUAACCCUGGGCUGUCUUUUCCCCUAACUUCUCUGUCAAGUUAUCUCAUUCAUUUGAUGCUAAACCAGGUAUUUGGCUCCACAAAUUGCUGGAAAUUUUCUCUAUUAUUUUCAACUAGGUCCUGAGACAAAAAUUUCUCAGUAUCCUGCUCCAGUUAAAUUCAGGCAGGAAGAGUUUGUUCUCCCCUUACAAGGGAUCUUGUGAACUCCUUCCCUGGUUCUCUGAUAAAUUCACUAGCCUGUAAUUUAUCUUGGUGCUGUUCCUUAAGAGGAGCUAUUAUUUUUGAGAGCAUACAUGUACUUGAAAUUCUAUAUUCUGUUUCAAAUAAAGUCACUUGUUGUGGAGAGGAGGGCUGAAGAGGACAAGAAAUUCUGGUGGUCCGCGUCUCCUGGUGAGAUAUGGUAACCUUGAUUGAGAGGCAAAGUGAAAACCCCAUGUCCUUGACCAUGUGUUUGACAUGGAGCUUCCAUCGAGCUAAGCUCUGAGGUGGGGAGGAACUAGGUCAUGAUUCAAAUGAUAAAAACUCUUGUUCUCACCAAGUUAAAAUAAACUUUCUUGAAUAGACAUGUCUUCAUUGGUUUUUAGGACAAUUUACAGAGAAUCUAUAGGCUUUUCUUCUUCGCAGCCAGCUUUGCUUGUGGGGGUCUUCACAUAAUCAUCCUGUGGAUGACGUCAGUGGAACUGAGUCUUCAUAAACUUCACGAAAUUUUGACUUUAUUGUUGUUAUUGCCUGGUUUUGCUUAAUUUUACAAUGAGCAAUAUAAUGCAGAUUCAGACAGCUUUUAAAUUUAAAUAUAUCCAAGCCAAAGAACAUGUUGCUAGAAAUAUCCAAUAAAAAGUAAGUCUGGUUAUGUAAAGUAAUAACAUUUCAAACCUUAAUUUAAGGUAUGUGAUCUCACUGAACACCAAAAACAUACUUCAUAAAUAUAUCUCCUAGUUUUGGGAUGUCUUAGACCUAAGCAAGUUCGGAGAAAAAUUUCACAGAUAAAGUUACUUGGAAUAUCAUAUGGUAGGAAAAAGAGACUUGAUCAAAUAAUAAGGUAUAAGUUUAAGUUUCAAUACAAUCUUACCAGACUUGUAUUACUAAGUUGAAGCAUAAAGUUUUGUGAAUGAUAGUAUACAUAAAUUCAAACUUACAAGAGCCAUCUUUGAUUCAUUAGAAAUGUCUUGUUUUCCAUCAGACUUCCUGACUCAAAUAUUUACUAGAAAUUAACAAUAAAUGGUCUGGAACUCAAUUUAUACAUGUCAAAACAAAGAGAAUGGGUUCUAAAGGUCAGUUGUUAAAUGUUCAAACUGUAAUCUAUUAGCCAAAGGAAUGUCUAAUACUAGAUUUAGGUGAGUUUUUUUUUUUUUUCUGAAUUCUAUUUUUGUGUCCUCCAGUUCUUUCUAUGGAUAUACACAUCACAUGAAAACAUUAAUUUCAGCAAGAGUUACAGACUCUGCUGAAUAUUUGAAAUAAUGAAGCUAUUACCAUGCUCCAGCAUUUUUGUGGGAAACCAGAAGAGAAUGAAGGAGUGGAUCAAAGCAUUUAUACAUUGAAUCCAAAACACCUAAAAGAAAACAAAGCAAGAAAGUCAAGAUGGUAACCCUCAUCGUUAUACAAAAUUACAUAUAAGAGGAGGUGAAGGGAAAGGGGGAAAAAAAAACAAGGGAGAGAAAUGAAGUACAGAAGAUGGGGUAGAGAGAGAAGAUGGGAGGAGAGGGGAGGGGAGGGGAGGGGGGAUAGUAGAGGAUAGGAAGGACAGCAGAAUACAACAGACACUAGUAUGGCAGUAUGUAAAAACGUGGAUGUGUAACUGAUGUGAUUCUGCAAUCUGUAUACGGGGGGAAAAAUGUGAGUUCAUAACCCACUUGAAUCAAAUGUAUGAAAUAUGAUAUGUCAAGAGCUAUGUAAUGUUUUGAACAACUAAUAAAAAAAAGAUGGUAGUUUGGUCUAAAUCUAAAAAUAUAUGACAUUGUGAAGUAUAUUUGCUCUGUAUAAUACAGUCAUAAAGCUGAAAAAUUUUUCUGUAAAUUGAAAAAUGUAUUAUUUAUUUAUUUAUUUUUAAAAGAAAUAAUUUCAAAAUUAU